Molecule: ribosomal RNA, 253 nt
Filed under: uncultured bacterium
Lineage: Bacteria
Description: partial 16S ribosomal RNA
Rfam family: Bacterial small subunit ribosomal RNA
Source: RNAcentral
UACAGAGGUCUCAAGCGUUGUUCGGAUUCAUUGGGCGUAAAGGGUUCGUAGGCGGUGUGGCAAGUCGGAAGUGAAAUCUCUGGGCUUAACUCAGAGGCUGCUUCCGAAACUGCCGUGCUAGAGUGCGGGAGAGGCGAGUGGAAUUGCAGGUGUAGCGGUGAAAUGCGUAGAUAUCUGCAGGAACACCCGUGGCGAAGGCGGCUCGCUGGACCGCAACUGACGCUGAGGAACGAAAGCUAGGGGAGCAAACAGG